GAGGGGUUCCUCCCUUCACCCUUUGAAGUGGGUGGGGGGCCGGACGCCCGCCACGCCUGAGUGCGGAGGGCGAGGGCGGGAGCAAGGCCACCACAAAGACUGCGAUUGUUAGCCGGCGGCGCACAGUGGGCGGGGCUCGGGGGCCAGCAAGGAAAUAAGGCUGCAGCCCCUCUCCCGGCUCCCGCCCCUUCUCCUUCCUCCCCGGCUCCAGCUGGUCCAGCUCCACAAGGAGGGACCGGUGGAGGAGCGCCCAGCAGGCCCAGAGGUGCACCUCUCCUGCUGGGUCAUCGGGCUGUGCAUGCCGAGGGUGGUGGUCAGGAGGCCAGGCCCCAGGUGUUCCAAGGGCACCUAGUUUCCACCAGGACUGGGUGAGGAGCAAGGAGAAAGCAGAUGACCAAAAUUGGGCCUAUGGGGAGUCCCAGAAUGUGGCCCAUCAGAGGUCUGGCAGCCUCAGGACAGGAGCCUCUGGGGCUGGAAGCCUGACAGCCAAGGCGCAGAAAAGUGGUCAGCCCCCUGGCUGCAGCAGGACAGCAAAUGGGGGAGCGACAGAGUACCCAGCUCAGGCUGGGUGGAGAGCCUCAGAGCCUGCCCCCAGACGGCCAGCGAUCAAAGAGAAGAGUGGAUCCAGGAAAAAUCGAGCUGCCAAGUGGUUGAUUGGCUUUGCCUCCAUCAGCCUGAUGAAUAUUCAUGAGGAUGUUCAGGCCGAGGGGGCGUCUCAAGGCUUCCUGGUGGACCCCAGGCCACCUGGAUGGACAUAUCUGAGCUGACCACACAGAGCGGACCACAGAGCCUGAGCCUAGCCGGGACCUGACUGACAGUCUGCCCGGAACCAAAACUCUGUGGGUGGAUCCGUGAUGCUAUCUCCCCUCCGUCCUUGCUGGCUUCACACGACGUCGAGGGGCUGAGAUAGAAAGUGAGUCAUUCCCAGCAAUUCUCAAGUCCCUGGAGAGCUCCCAGGAACACACACGAAUUCAAUAUUCUCAUCAGCUGCUGGGGAUCAUGCAAACCUGCUUUCUGCCAAACAGAAUAUUUGUGCGAUUACAGCAAAUCCCUGCGCACGGAG
Molecule: long non-coding RNA, 1063 nt
Filed under: Bos indicus x Bos taurus (hybrid cattle)
Lineage: Eukaryota; Metazoa; Chordata; Mammalia; Artiodactyla; Bovidae
Description: lncRNA (ENSBIXG00000003721.1)
Source: RNAcentral